Molecule: ribosomal RNA, 362 nt
Filed under: uncultured bacterium
Lineage: Bacteria
Description: partial 16S ribosomal RNA
Rfam family: Bacterial small subunit ribosomal RNA
Source: RNAcentral
CCUACGGGUGGCAGCAGUGAGGAAUAUUGGUCAAUGGACGGAAGUCUGAACCAGCCAUGCCGCGUGCAGGAAGACGGCUCUAUGAGUUGUAAACUGCUUUUGUACAAGGGUAAACCUGAAAACGUGUAUUCAGCUGAAAGUACUGUACGAAUAAGGAUCGGCUAAGUCCGUUCCCGAAGCCGCGGCAAUACGGAGGAUCCAAGCGUUAACCGGAUUUAUUGGGUUGAAAGGGUGCGUAAGCUGAUUGAUCAGUUAGAUGUGAAAUGUCCGAGCUUAACUCGGGAACUGCCUCGAAUACUGUUGAACUAGAGAGUAGAUGCGGUAGGCGGAAUGUAAGGUGUAGCGGUGAAAUGCGUAGAGAU